GGCCCCACUCCUCCAAUCUGGGCCAAACGGCUGGCUUCUGGCUCCCUGUGGUUUCUGGAAGGCAGGAAGCCGGCAGACAGCAGACCACGGAGGGCGCCAGCGAGACAGCCUUUCUCUUGGCUUCAUGCCACCGCCAUUCUGGAUUCCUUUUUCCUGUUCUAACUACCUAACAGAUUCAACGGUCUGGGAUGGAACCUGAGGAUCUGCAUUUCAACAGGCUCUCAGUGAAUGAGGAAUGCUGCAACAACAUCUGGAGCCGCCCCCAGCGGAAGCCUGCAGAGCGGCGGUGGCAGCGGUGAUAUAGCUCAGAACGCAGCCUCUCACCGUGUGGACACCACGCAUACAGCAGCACACGCAGACACGUGCACGUGGCCAUGUCUGCAUGUCCACACGUACACAUGAACAUGCAUCUUCUCCUUGUACUUGAGUAACCAAGGAUGGCUGCUACCCCACUCCUGAGCUCAAGGUACCUCAUUUCCAAAGACUAGCCAGGACUGGCCAGCACCAAUGGUUCCAUGACUGUGAGAGAGGAAAUAUGAGUGG
Molecule: long non-coding RNA, 543 nt
Organism: Bubalus bubalis (water buffalo)
Lineage: Eukaryota; Metazoa; Chordata; Mammalia; Artiodactyla; Bovidae
Exons: 4
Source: RefSeq, a predicted model, not a curated record